GUUAAAAGAUAGAACAAUCUAGCCAAGUGCCAUGUCUCUUAUUCUUGAUCAGCUAUAGCUCUGGAGUUUUUUGCAGAUUUUCAAAUAAAACUCAGAGAUUCCUUAUAUGACUCUCUAAAACUCUCUUUUGUGGUAUUUCUAGAUCCUUACCAAGGGAGUGAUGGUAUAUGCCUUCUCUCAAGAUAUGUGGUAUUUGUGGUAUAAGGCAUAGUGACAUUGCCUUCUCUCUCACCCUACUCUAAUAAGGCUUUAAUAUCUGGAGCUCAUAGGUGGGAGAUAGCUAAUACAUACUUACAAGACAUUUAUUGCAUAGUCAAACCAUGGAUCCAGAGAAACAAGUCAAUAAGUCAAAUCAAGAUGUGCAUGUGUGGCGAAUGAAUGGUGUAUGGUGAUGAUGGUGAUACAAUGGUGGAAGUCUAAUUCUACUUUUGCUCUUUUGAGGGGAUACAUACCUUCCUUGCUUUUUGAAACUUUAUGAGGAGAAUGAGAUGCUCUAUCUUUCAUUUUUUUCUUUCCUCUCAGGUGGGUAUCCUGUACCCCUAAUUCUACUGUCGGACACUUGUCCAUUUUUACCUCUCGUCUCACUUUUUCUUUCUUUCGAGGUUCCGGGCACUUGCCCCUUUUUAUUUCCUCGUAUAUAUUUUUUUCUCUCCUUUUUUUAGAGCACUCAUCUCAUGAGAUAAUAUAGCAAGUGAUAGUAACAAGAUAACUUGAGCAUUUAUUUCACAAGGAAAAAUAGAAAUAUUUUUGGUUAUUCUCUCCCGGAUUAGGAGUAGAAUAUUUUUGGGUGGUUCUGGAGAUGGAAAUGAGUGGAUAUAUGUGGAUGGUACUUCCGGAGUAGAAGUAGCAUAUAUGAGUGAAUGUGCAAGUGAAAUCUUUAUUUAACCACAUGACAAGCUCCUAAGGGUCUACACAGCUUGACCACACUCAAUGCUCAUAAGCAGUAAAUAGUAAAUGUGUGGCUCAAAGUCUAGCAAGCAUGUAUAUAUGGCUGUGGUAGGAAUUUAAACUUUCAUCAUACAGGAACUCAUCAUGCAAUAUUUUAAAGAUUUUUCAAAGAUAAAAUUCUCCAGAAUUCUAGCAUCUCUAAGAACAGAUAAAUAGCAGCUCAGCCUUCCCAUAUCAUAUCCGUUAACAACUUAGAUUUCAGAUCAAGGUUUCAUCCCACAAGUUUAGAUCUAGAGCAAGCUUUAAAUUAUAACAGUGAAGGUACUUAUGGGUUUUAUGCCACUCGUAUACUCACAUGGGGCUUAGUAUUUUUUACAUUUUUAUUUUCUUUUCAAGAUAGCAUGAUUAAAUAAUAAUCUAUUUAAGGAAAGUAAAUAAUUAAAGAGAAAAGGGAAUGCAGAAAGGAUAAAUAUGGAUAACUACUGAUCUUACCUUUCGGCGAGGGUUCAAUGUUUUAAGUCUUCUUAACAAGACUUCUCACCGUGUUUAUUCUUCAGGUGCGUCAUUUGAUUCAGGUGCGGACCUUGACGUCUGCACCUCUUGAUACGGUGUCACCCAUGUUCUUCGUUUGCCCUGCAGUUCGAAGUGCGGCGUUGGCAGUAACCUGCUCAGUGUGUUUGUGCUUGUAGAUCCAGGUCCUUCACUUGGUAGAGUCUGAGAGCUAUAAAACUCCUCUGUGUUUUGCUCAAAGUGUACCUGCUCAUAGAGACAAGGCAGAGAUCAAGUGCAUUGGUCCUGUUGGUGGAAAACACCAACAGGACCUAAAGUGUAUUUGUUCUUCACUAACCCUAAGCAUAGUGAGCAAGACAAACUUGAUGGAUGAAAAGUUCAUGAGUGUAGCACUUAUAACAUUUGUCAGAUCAGAUCGCUCAACCUUAUGGAAAGAUAAUCUAUCUAUGUAUAUGUCUUUUUUUUAUAUCUCUCAAUGAUUGAAUGUGUAACAUUUUAGCUCAUAUGAUUAGGAGUGUGGGAUCAUGGAGGUAGUACUAAGAACAAGGAUUAAAGGACUAAACAUGUUGAAUCAGUUGGGUUGGUUAAUCUAGAGUUGUAAAUCAUACAUGUUUGUCUCUUUUAUUUAUAUGAACGCCAGAACCAAGGAGAAGCUUAUAAAAGUGGUAGUUAACUACCUUAAGAUGUUACCUUGCUUGAAGAGUGAUGGUACAGUAUCACCUUGUGGAAGCUUUCCUUUCUUAGUGAUUGUGCAUCGUGUUUGUGGCACCCUCCAUGGAUCAUCUCUCUAUGAUGAAUGAGCUAUGUCCUUCUUGUGCAAAUUGUUAAACUUCGUGUGUCACUCUCUUCGUCUCUGAUGUGAGUUUAUCACAGGACUUCCCAAAUUGAUAUUGAAAGUUUUUCUGCAGGGGUUAGUCCGACAAAAAUAUACCAAUGUCUACACAAGCAGUUUUUAGUUCAAUAACCGAACUAGACUCCAUGUCUAAUCAGAUUAAGGAAGGCUGUUUAACCUAAGCACCAUGCUUAAUUUAAAAGCCAAUAGAAGUAUGUGUAGUACUUCCAAACUAACACUUACUAGUAAAUAGACAAAUGUAGCAUGACAGCAUUUAUAGAGAUCUACUCAAGUGGAGAUGAAGUAGUGUGAUUAGUAUUUAACAAAUUGAGCAUGUCUUAAAGGUAGGGACAACCAACAUAGCAACAUGGCAAAGGAUGUUUUUAUGUAAAGUACUCCCCCAAGCUUGAAUUUUGCAGAAUUCAAGUUUGGAUGAAUUUAAUUCAAUGUUGUAUGAUGAUUGGUUGGACAUACCUUGUGCUUGUCAUUCAUCCGAUCUUCUUGCUCCAAUCCUGUAAAGGUUAGUGACAAGAAUACCUGAAGGAAUAUUUUUACAAUUAUCCUUAUAUGCUCAAUACACAAGGUAAUGUUGCAAAUAAUUAAAAACUCAUGUUACGAUCUGAUCAGUGCUUAUUUUAGGAUACUAAGCUUGUCCUUGGGAAACGAUCAAUUUAUGUUGGCGAAGUUGUUUCCCUUCCAACGCUGACCUAAAUCAAGAUCAACUCAACGAGAUCUGCAAUAUUUAUUAUAGACGUAUGUAUCGACAACCGCCCUUUUAAAGUUUUUAUAAAUAGAAAGGAAGAGGGGGUUAGAGAUCUCAAAUGUGGUGAUGUUGGAGAGACCAAUAUAUUGGGAAGAUGUUGCAUAUGAGCAUGGAGUAAACAAAGUGGCUAUGAAAUAAAUUCCAUGCUCAUUAAUGUUAUCUUCGUCUCCAAUCUGAAUGUUCAGAGUUCCUCUUGGAUUGGUCUCACUUAUGUCCUCUUCUAUAGUUGGAUGAAUCCCAUCUUCAAAGGGAGUUAAGAAUCCAUUAAGGCUUCUUCCUUAUCCAUCCAUUCUACACAUUCUAGCCAUUUAGAACUUGUGAUCAGGAAAGGGGAGGUGUUAGAAUUUUCAAUAUGGCUUAGCUCUCCUUUACUUGAUGUGUCAUCCUCAACUUCUUCAUAACAGGAACCAGGACAUUCUCUAAGAGAACCAUUAUUGCGUGGAUUUGAAUUAUCCCUGCUUGAAGGUAUCUUAUGGAACCAGAAGUCUAAACCAUCAGCAUCUGAAAGAUUUAAGGUCGGAAUUCCUUCCUCCCUUGGAGAAUUUUGGGGUUUUGAUGGUUUAGGAUCGAUAGCUAAAGUUUGGAAUUGAAGUGGUUGUGAUAUGGCUAUCGAAACUUCUUCUUCUUGUCUAGGAACUGGUUCUGUCUCUUUCUCAGGGAUAUAAAAGCUAGGAGACUUUCCACUUAAUAAAUCAAUCAAAUUCCAAGCUUCACUAGCAGGUAGGUGAUAGAAGGAUCCUCUAGAGGCUGUAUUCAAGGUUUGCUUAUUUUCCCUACUAAGGCCCUCAAAAAAGUGAAUUAGAAUAACUUCUUCUGGAAUAGAAAGCUUUGGGCCAGUGAGAGUAAGGUUAAUAAAGCGGUCCCAUGAUUUCCUAAGAGAUUCUUCUUCCAGUUGUCUAAAAGAAAUAAUCUCACGCCGAAGUUCCGCCACUUUGGAGAUUGGGAAAUAUUUAAGAAGAAAACUACUAUAUAACUCCUUCCAAUCUCCAUGAACACUCCCUAUUUUGAGUUUGUACCAAUGUCUAGCUUUUCCCGUUAAAGAGAACGGAAAGAGCUUCCAUUAAAGGGUCUCAUCGGUCAUUCCUUCUAUGUGAAGGAGGUCACAGACUCGAUAAAACUCUCUUAGGUGUGUGUAUGGGUUUUCCUCACCUUUUCCUGAGAAAGGUUGUGUUUGAACAAAUUCUAUGUAUUCGGGCUCUAUCUCAAAACUAUAUGCUAUGAUAGGCUUUGAAGAUUUUGGUGGUUCGAGAUGUGUGCCCGUAGGUCUAUGAAAUUCAUAGAUAGACAUGUUUGAAUUCAUGAUAGACCAGAGAUCAAGGAUUAGAUAAUAAGAAAGAUUAGCAGAGAUGAGGCAAAGGAUAAAAGGAAACUAUUUUUUUUAGAAAAUGAUUAAGCUAGUUCAUAGUCAACUCAGCAACCGUUUCCCCGGCAACGGCGCCAAAAAUGCUUGUUGACACUUGCUAACACCACUUGAAUACUAGGUUGUCAUCCCCAGCAUGGCACUAG
Molecule: long non-coding RNA, 4499 nt
Filed under: Sorghum bicolor (sorghum)
Lineage: Eukaryota; Viridiplantae; Streptophyta; Magnoliopsida; Poales; Poaceae
Description: long non-coding RNA (SBIC_LNC008461)
Source: RNAcentral